GCUAGGAGUCAAAUCAGAGCUACAACUGCCAGCAUACACCACAGCUCAUAGCAACACUGGAUCAUUAACCCACUGAGCAAGGCCAGGGAUCAAACCUGCAUCCUCAUGGAUACUAGUCAAGUUCGUUUCUACUGAGCCACAAUGGCAACUCCUCAAUUCUACAUUAAUAAGAAAAAAAUAUUUUUUUUUCCUUUUAGGGCCGCACCCUCUGCAUAUGGAAGUUCCCAGGAUAGGGGUCGAAUCAGAGCUGUAGCUGCUGGCCUAUACCACAGCCACAGCAACAAAGGAUGAGCCAUGUCUGCGACCCACACCACAGCUCACAAUAAAGCCAGAUCCCCGACCAACUGAGUGAAGCCAGGAAUAGAACCUAUAUCCUCAUAGAUACUAGUCAGAUUCAUUUCCACUGCACCAUGAAGGGAAUUCCCAAGAAAAUUUUUUUUAAAGUCAUAAGCCCUCCAGAUGGAGAUAACAUGUGGAGAGACCAUGUGGAGAGAUUCUGAGAUGAUGCAAAGAGAAGGAGGCUUUGUCACCACUGUUUGCCAUGUAAGCCCUGCCUUCUAGCGGUUCUCACCAUGAUGCCAGCCAUGGGAGGGAUGCAUACGGUGUCUUGCCAGCCCAAGGAAGCCCCCAUGUGACUGCAGCCCCAGCUGACAUCACAUGGAGCAGGAGAACUGUCUGCCUGAUCCCAGCCAACUCACAAAAUCAUGAGAGGCAAUAACAUGGUUAUUUUACUGGAUUUCAAAACAAGGAGGUGGAGACGGGGUGGGCGUGAUGACUAAGCAAUAGAUAACUGAGACAGCCAGCAAAAAUCUUCAAAUGUGAACUUCUUGGAGAAGGACCAAGAACUAAAUGUCAAGUUAAAUUGCAAAGCUGCAGACCAAGUACUGGUCAACAUUGAUGAAGUAAAAAGAACAUGGGGUUUGAGUUGGUGCAACUGGUUGAGAACUGACUGAGCUACUUAGGAGCUUUUUAACCUCAAAUAAAUCAUUUGACCUUUUUUCUCCUCUAUCCUCUUAUCGUAAAAUAUGGGCAUCACUGAUGUCACUUUCCGGGGCUUCUGAGAAAGGGCAGACGAAACCGUUUAAGAGAAGAUGCUUUUUACCAGUAAGGCCGAUUGCUUUCUGCCCCUCUUCUUUUCUUUGAGCUUAGAGAUUUGUUGAUCAUGAACAGUGGCUUUUUAAAAGAGAACACUGUUGUAUCCUACCUUGGAGUGACAAGAGGAUGCCCAGACCGAAGUAACAUUUUACCCAUCUGACAUCCAAGAAAGGGCCCCCAGGGUAGUUCUCAUGUGCUCAGCAUCCUAAGCCAUUUCCCCAAGGUUCUAUAGAAGAGGCUAGAGAGCUCAGUGGAGCCUCUUCUGCUUGAGCACUAAUUCUGCUCAUGCAGGCUGCACCUCAUGCCUAAUCCUUUCCCUCAGUCCCCAUCUACUCAUAUCAGCAUCUUUGGGAGUUGGGAUUUCAACAUAUGAAUUGAUGGGGGUAGGGUGGGGGUCCCUCAGCAAUGAAUAAAAGCAGGGUCUUUGCACUUUGACCUUAGUGCAAAGUGCCCCAGGAAUGGGGCCUCGGGAAUCUGCCUCUUGCUAAAUUUUCCCAGUGGUUGAUCUUCAUUCCCUCUUAAGAUUGAGACCCAUCGGCCUUGCCCGGAUCAAACAGGAUCAUUUAGAAAAAAACAAUGAGAGAGAUAAGGUAUCAUGAUAUUCCAGACCCAGGGAGAAGGGGAGUUUUAUACCUGCUAGCCCAGGAACUGUUUCCAAACGGACCAUUAGCCAUUGAGUCAAGCUCAGGACUGGCCAGGAAAGGAGCUCCCCCAUGUCCGAGCUGAGAGUACAUCCUCCCAGUGGCUCUUUGGCAUUGCAUUUGCACACAUAGGGGCUGGGUGACAAGCCCUCGUCUGGUCCUGACAUGAAAAGUCCUGGUGGGUGGGUGUGUCUGUAUGCCUGUGUGUGAGUGUAUGUCUAUGUGAAUGUGUGAGUGUUUACAUCUGUGCGUGUGAGCAUGUGUCUCUGUGUGUGUGUGUGUGAGUGUACGUGUGUGUGUCUGUGUGUUGAGAUUGUAUGUCUCCAUGUGUAAUUGUGUGUGUGUGAAUGUGUGUCUCUCUGUGUGUUUUAGUGUGUGUCAGUGUGUGUGAGUGUGUCUCUGUGUGUGUGUCUGUGUGUGAGAGUGUGUAUGUGAGUAUGUGUCUCUGUGUGUGUGAGUGUGUCUGUGUGUGAGUGUUUUCAUGUGUGUCUGUGUCUGUGUGUGAGUGUGUGUCUGUGUCUGUGUCUCUGUGUGUCUGUGUGUGUGUGUGUGUGUGACAAGGCUCAAACCCAACUCCAUCUCACUCUUUACCACAAACCCAUUUUAGAUUGAUUAGAGCUUGAAAUGAAAAAAGUAAAAGAGAAAACAUAGAAAGACAAUUUCAUAAUCUUCCACAGAACUUCUCAGCAUGACACCAAACUCAGAGGCUGUAAAGGAAAAGAACUUAAAAUUUCAGCUACCUGAAAGUAAAAACCUUUUUAUGAAGAAUAUAAUGAGGGGGGAAACUAACAUUUAACAAACACAUGAAAACUUAGGGCGAGUGUUUGCAGCAUUUGCUACCAACAAAGGGUUAAUGCUCACACUAAACUAAUUCCCACAAAUCCAAGAGAAAACUGGGCAAAGGAUAAGAAUAAACAGUCCACAGAAGAAGGAAAACAGACAAUAAAUAUGAAAAAGAUGUUUAAGAUUACUAAUAACCAAAGUAAUACAGCUUAGCAUAAUAGGAAAACAACAAGUUUUGGCAGAGACCGAAUGAUUUCUGAUAACCAAGUCGGUGAUAACAAGGAGCCAGGCACAGCUAUUUUAAGUGUAAACUGUUGAAAUCUUUUUUGGAGAGUAAAGGGUCCACAUCCAGGAAAGUCUAAAACUUGUGCUCCAUUUGUCCCAGCAAUUUUAUUUUUAGGAGUUUAUCCCAAACUGGUCACUGCACAAAUAAAUAGCUCUAUGGAUACAGUACGAGGCUGGUGUUUUCAAAGAACAUCUGGGAUUUUGAAGAAUUUGGAUUGAGGCUAGGGGCCCAUUUGGAGAAUGUAUGGCCCAGAUGCUUCCACGGAAUAUGACCCUUGACCAGCCGUUGGUCAAGGAGGGGACACUUGAGCCUAGGGGUCCAACCAGGAUGAAUGGCACAACUCUGGCUUGCCCUGUAAGUGGCAGCUUUUCCCUCUCUUCCUCUGUAACACUGGGGAGAGAAUGUAAAGCCUGGUGCUGCUGUAACAAUCAUUUUGCCACCACCAGGGGAAAUAACCUUCUGAAAAAAACCAGCUUGCAAAGGAGGGCAGGUCAGGGGGAAACAAAUGCCAAAGAUAACACAGUAACAACCAGCGGAGCUAGAAACACUGGAUUAAGUCCAACUUGAAGCUGCCAUGUCCAUGAACUUCAGUUACAUAAGCCAAUAGUUUUCUUUAUGAAGCCAAACUGAAUCACUUUCUGAAACUUGCAGCAAAAUGCCUCGUGAUAUAGCCAUCAGGAGAGAAUUGGUUAAAUAAAUUAUGACACAGCCAUUUAACAAAAUACUGCGCAAGGGAUUAAAAAAGUGUAGGUCCCCCAAAAGAAUAUGUACUGGUAUUUAUAGCAGCACUAUUUACAAUAGUCAAGACAAGGAAGCACCCUAAACGUCCAUCAACAGAUGAAAGGAUAAAGAAAAUGUGGGGGUUGUUUGUGUAUGUGAGAGAUGUUAUAUAUAAUACACAGACACACACAUACAUGAUGGAGUAUUACUCAGCCAUAAAAGAGAAUGAAAAAAACGCCGUUUGCAGCAACAUGGAUGGACCUAGAGAUUCUCAUACUAAGUGAAGUAAGUCAGACAGAGAAAGGCAAAUAUAAUAUGGUAUCACUUAUAUGCGGAUUUGUUAAGGGAUAUAAAUGAACUAAUUUUACAAAACAGAAAGAGACUCACACACACAGAAAACAAACUUAGGGUUAUCAAAGAGGAAAAGUGGGGGAAGAAUACAUUGUGAGUUUGAGAUUAAUAGAUACGCACUACUAUAUAUAAAAUGGAUAACCAACAGGGACCUACUGUAGAGCACAGGGAACUAUACUCAAUAUUUUAUAAUAACCCCUAAGGGGAGAGAACAGUUAUAAAUACAGUUAUAUAACUGAAUCACUGUGAUGUACAUCUGAAACUAACACAACAUUGUAAAUUUACUAUACUUCAAUUAACUAUAUACACAUAGAUCACUGCAUAGGCCGUGUAAUGUACAAAUCUCCAUUAGGUACCUUUAUCAGGAAAAUGAUGCUAUCACCCCAUUUAGUUAAAAAAGUAAACUGAGCUAAAGAUAGAGAUAUAAAUGAGAAUCAUAGGGGAAGAGAAGCUUUUAUUUCUAUCUUUAUACACUUCUGAUUUUUUUAAGGUUUUUGCAAUACAUAUGUGUUCCUUUUAAUAUAUACAUCUAUGCAUAAAUAGAUAUUUCAGUUUGGGAACUCUGAAGUGCUCUAAGUAACAUCAUUGUUAAAAUUAUGAUCUUAAAAUUUAAACAGGUAUUUUAAAAACAGGUUUUAAUGGCAUGGUCUCCAAAUCUCAUUUUUUUUACAUCAGAUCAGUGUGCAUAAACUGAUGCUUAUUUUGCCGUUAAUCACUUCUUCUAGUUUCUUGUCUGGCUGAAAUAGAAUGUGUGUCUUAAUCACUAAAAGUAAUAAAAAUAAAAACCAUCUCACAGGGCCUGGCGCACAAUGGCUCAUCAAUGACAGUUUGCAUUGUUAUUCCAUUUUCUCAGCAUGAAGGGAGCCCUUCCUGAAAUUCAUUUUCGCUUGGGGAUCAGUGUGUCUUCCUCUGACUUUACAUUCAUCAAAUGCCCUGGAAGUAUCAGCCAUUCACCUGGGUCCAGCUCAGGGACUGUGCUGAGUCUCCUAACCCUGGAAAUGACAGCAGUAGACACAGCCUCGGGAAAAC
Molecule: long non-coding RNA, 4905 nt
Filed under: Sus scrofa (pig)
Lineage: Eukaryota; Metazoa; Chordata; Mammalia; Artiodactyla; Suidae
Description: lncRNA (ENSSSCG00060066432.1)
Source: RNAcentral